Bos taurus (domestic cattle) is the source of this 73-nucleotide non-coding RNA. The record is from Rfam. NCBI's taxonomy places the organism in Eukaryota, Metazoa, Chordata, Mammalia, Artiodactyla, Bovidae.
UCCCUGGUGGUCCAGUGGUUGGGACUCCACACUUCCACUGCAGGAGGCACAGGUUCAAUCCCUGGUCAGGGAA